ACUCAAAUGAAUUGACGGGGGCCCGCACAAGCGGUGGAGCAUGUGGUUCAAUUCGACGCAACGCGAAGAACCUUACCUGGGCUCGAAGCGCAGGGGACCGGGGUGGAAACAUCCCUUUCUCGCAAGAGACUCCUGCGGAGGUGCUGCAUGGCUGUCGUCAGCUCGUGUCGUGAGAUGUUGGGUUAAGUCCCGCAACGAGCGCAACCCUUAUCCCUAGUUGCUACCAGGUCAAGCUGAGCACUCUAGUGAAACCGCCCCGGAUAACGGGGAGGAAGGUGGGGAUGACGUCAAGUCCUCAUGGCCUUUAUGUCCAGGGCUACACACGUGCUACAAUGCCCGGCACAAACCGUCGCAAACCCGCGAGGGGGAGCUAAUCGGAAAAAGCCGGGCCCAGUUCGGAUUGCAGUCUGCAACUCGACUGCAUGAAGCUGGAAUCGCUAGUAAUCGCGGAUCAGCACGCCGCGGUGAAUACGUUCCCGGGCCUUGUACACACCGCCCGU
This 500-nucleotide ribosomal RNA is filed under the name uncultured bacterium. Its description in RNAcentral is "partial 16S ribosomal RNA". It matches the Rfam family "Bacterial small subunit ribosomal RNA", at positions 899 to 1397 of the family's 1533-position model. The record is from RNAcentral.